CUCCCGCGGCUACCUCGAUUUAUCUUCUUGCUCCGCGUAAAUGUAUUUUCGUACAUGGUCUCUGUCCUCGAUGGACCGUCACGGGAUACGCGUGAUCACGCUCUUUGUUGCCGAUGAUGCGGAAAUGAGCUCGUGCGUUAAUAAAUUAUAAGUAUUUAUCUACCUCGAUGACAUUUUCAAAAGCAUCUUCAAUCCGCAACAGGAAACACAUCACGUAGAUCGUAAACUCUAUAUUUGUUACCGAAACCGAAACAGAUGUGGACGGACAGAUGAAAAUUGCGUGAAUCGGAUUUUAAAUUACGAAAAUUCAGUUUCCUGAAACAUUCAAGAAUGAUUGAUGGCAUGAUCGCGUAAUAGCUAGAAAAGCAAAGUAAUUUUUGGCAAGGAAACAAAUAUCUACAAUGAAAAUGUGUUGUCUCAUUCUUUAUUCUAUGACACUUGAUUAUAUUAUACGGCACACACAUGGGAAAAGAGAAGGAAAAAUAGAAAUUUUAUAGUUUUGAAUUUAUGUGUUAAAAAGGACAAUUGCAAAUUAUGUAAUAAUUUUGUCAUUUUUUUUCUCCUUACUGAAAUUUAAUUAGAUUUUCGUGAAAAUAUUUAAUUUAAUGUUAACUCUAUAAUAUUUUAUUACUCAACAUUAAAUAUUCACAUAAGCAGCUAAACUCGAAUUAAAAUUUUAUUCGUGUAGCUUUAUAUUUUAGUGUGAAGUAUAUUUGACAAAAAUAUAAUAUCUUAAAUUAUUAUCUAUGAAAAGUUCGAUUUUCGCGGAUCAUGUAUAAAAUUCAAAAGAUAUUGUUAUCAUCAAAUUUUUAUCUCUAAAUAUGUCUCCUGUAAAUUAAUGAAUAAAAACUGUUAUUUUACCUAAAA
This is a long non-coding RNA of Formica exsecta, 867 nucleotides long. RefSeq lists it as uncharacterized. The record is from RefSeq and is a predicted model, not a curated record. Lineage: Eukaryota; Metazoa; Arthropoda; Insecta; Hymenoptera; Formicidae. The transcript is spliced from 2 exons.